CUGACUGUAGCUUAGUCUAGUAAAGCGCUGGUUUUGGGAAUCAGAGAUCGGUGGAGCGAAGCCACCCAGUCAGACCA
RNAcentral lists this transfer RNA (77 nucleotides) under Bacteroidetes bacterium 4572_77. Its description in RNAcentral is "tRNA-Pro". It matches the Rfam family "tRNA". Rfam says of the family: Transfer RNA (tRNA) molecules are approximately 80 nucleotides in length. Their secondary structure includes four short double-helical elements and three loops (D, anti-codon, and T loops). The record is from RNAcentral. Lineage: Bacteria; Pseudomonadati; Bacteroidota.